AUUAAUUUAAGUGCAAAAAGUAUUUUUAAGAGGUUGUGAAUAGAUGUCCACUGACGUCUUUUACACGUCUAGACUAGACUAGUAGGAAAAAAACAGAAUUAUCUUUAUGAAAUACACGAUUUGUAUACAAAGUAAAUAUAUUAACUUUAUCUUGUUUAAAUAAAUUAUAAUCUUAAAGUGCCCAGUGUGAUUGCAAAGCCACAAUACAUUUUAGUCAUUAUUACAACCUGCUUUAUUAUUAAAUGUAUGCAUAUAAAUGUAAAGAAAGUAUAUAUCCGGUUACCAUUUAGGUCUGAGUUGGAUGUAAUUUCAUAAACUGCGCUGCCAAGAAUGUUUUAACAAAAUAUUUUACAAAAUCGCGCGAUAGGAUAGAUUUUCUCGCGAGAUAGUUGUCACGUGACGUGUUCUCCCGGAAGUACGUCGUGUGCAGCCAGCAAGCCACGAGGAGAGGGUGAAUUUACGAAGGAGUUGUGUCUAUAUAUUAUAUAAAAUCUACUAUUGGUUGAAGAUCAACACAAACCAAAUGAAGAUGUUGUAGAUUCUACAAAUAAAAAAGAAGGUGAUGGCACACAUCAUGACAGUAAACAUCGGUAUCAAGAUGGUGUGAUUGAUCUAUACCCUAGAAUAAGCUGUGACACUGAUGCUGUGGUCACAUAAUGAACAGCCAUCUUACAGACAACCGAAAGAGUAUUGUCUACAAUCCCAAAUUCUGGAUUGACGAUCCAGUACCAGUGGGCACCCCAAUCCCAGAGAGCAUCCAUCUGAAACCAGGUGAGGUAACACAACGAAAAAAUUACCGGAUGGAGACUACCUGAUUCUUCACCUAUGGCCUCAGCUUCAAAUGCAAGAAUUAAGAAAUGCUAUAUGACUGUGUAUUUUGCAUUAUGAAUACAUCAAAGAUGUUGAUAAGUUGACCUGCGUCCAGCAACUGUCUGAGUUGGUGGAUAUUCUGUCAGAGACUCCGUGGACAACGUUAUGAAUAGGUUAUUUGUCUAAGGUGAAGUAAUCUUACAGUUCUUUCACAGAAUGAUGUGAAAUUGUCUUAUGGCAAAGUUCAAUAUGAAGGGUGGUGGACAUCAGGAAAAGAAGUCUUUUAAAGGCACACCUUUGUAUUAUGUUAUUUAAGAUGCUGUGAAGAGGUGGAGCCCAAAUGCCACCGAAUCGGAAAUAGAUGCAGCUAUGGCAGACCACCUCAAGCACGCUCCUGGAAGAGCUGGGGGUGGUGGAUACAAAAAAGCCUAACAGCUGUGAUGUGUUAAAGAGAGAGUUCACCAAAAAAGGAAAAUUGUUAUAAUUUUCUUAUCCACAUGUUUCAAACCUGUAUACCUUUCUAUUUUCUGCUGAACACAAAGAUUGAAGAAUGUUUGUAACUUCACAACCCAUUAACUGUCAAUAUUUUUUUUUACAAUUGUAGUAAUGGGUUGUGAGAUCUGCUUUGUUAAAAACAUUCUUUCAAAUAUCUUUGUGUUCAGCAGAACAUAGAAAGGUAUACAGGUUUGAAACAUGAGAUGGAAUAAAUGACUAAAUAUUAAUUUUUGGGUGAACUAUCCCUUUAUAGAAAGUGUUUUGAAAUUGUUAUUAUAGUUAAAUGGUUAAAAAAUAAAAAGUGCUAAAUCAGAACAUGCUUCUUUUUUGGUUAUGGCGACAAAUAAUGUGUUCUUUAAUGUGUUUGUGAAGUACACGUGGUUAAAACGUUUUAUGGACGUUCAGGUCUGACUGGACCAAUUUUGAACCGAUUUUGAACCUUUGUGAAUAUGUGUUAAACCUCAAUACAAUUGAUUGCCUUUCACGAUGUUACACAGUGGGUGUAUAUUCAUUUUAUAUGCAUACAUUUAAACAAUGCAGCAACACAUUUAAACAUCCAGAAGACGGCACAUUUAGACGUCCAGGGACGGGCAGAAAAGACGUGUAAUUCACGGCCAAAUGACGUCAAAGACGUGCGCUCAACUUUAAUUUAGGGUAUUUUUCAACCGUGAUGGGACGUGACGAAGGGACGUCUUUUCAACGGUCAUAAAACGUCCAAAUGUUUGCUAUAUGGGGGCUUAAAACAUAUUUAAACUAUGCAGGAACACAUUUAAACAUCCAAAAGACGGCGCAUUUAGACGUCCAGGGACGUGCAGAAUAGACGUGUAAUUCACGGCCAGAUGACGUCAAAGACGUCGGCUCAACUUUCAUUUUGGAUAUAUUUUUCAACGCGGACGGGACGUGACGA
Paramisgurnus dabryanus is the source of this 2212-nucleotide non-coding RNA. The record is from RefSeq and is a predicted model, not a curated record. NCBI's taxonomy places the organism in Eukaryota, Metazoa, Chordata, Actinopteri, Cypriniformes, Cobitidae.